AUUGAACGCUGGCGGCAUGCUUUACACAUGCAAGUCGAACGGUAACAGGGAGCUUGCUCCGCUGACGAGUGGCGAACGGGUGAGUAAUGCAUCGGAACGUACCCAGUCGUGGGGGAUAACGUAGCGAAAGUUACGCUAAUACCGCAUACGUCCUGAGGGAGAAAGCGGGGGACCGUAAGGCCUCGCGCGAUUGGAGCGGCCGAUGGCAGAUUAGGUAGUUGGUGGGAUAAAAGCUUACCAAGCCGACGAUCUGUAGCUGGUCUGAGAGGACGACCAGCCACACUGGGACUGAGACACGGCCCAGACUCCUACGGGAGGCAGCAGUGGGGAAUAUUGGGCAAUGGGCGAAAGCCUGACCCAGCCAUGCCGCGUGAAUGAUGAAGGUCUUAGGAUUGUAAAGUUCUUUAGCCUGUGACGAUGAUGACGGUAACAGGAGAAUAAGCCCGGCUAACUUCGUGCCAGCAGCCGCGGUAAGUGCGACGACA
Molecule: ribosomal RNA, 485 nt
Filed under: uncultured bacterium
Lineage: Bacteria
Description: bacterial SSU rRNA
Rfam family: Bacterial small subunit ribosomal RNA
Source: RNAcentral